AAAAAAUAAAAAGGAAUAUCUGUAGGAAAAAGCAAUGGAUGAGAUGGAGAUUGAAAUUACAGAUUGAAAUUAAACUUAGCAAUACAAAGCAGAAGGCCAUCAUGCUCUGGUAUUAAGAAAGGUGCUGAAUGGCUGCAGGAGUUCCAUCAAUUCACUGCAAACCACAACUCUGCUGCUUCACUUUUUCCUGUCUGUGAUUAGUUUUCUACCUCAAUGGACAUUAUUAAAAAUUUUUGGUAAAGGCUCAAUAUUCAGAUGACUUGGUAACCGGAAUGGGCUCCCAACAUUAGACAGUUAUCAAAACUCAAGCAAACUAAAAUCUUGCAGGUGAGCAGCAAUGGACAAGAGCUCUGCAGACGUAAGGACCACGCCAGCCUGAAGUUGAAAAGAAAGGACAAGCUGUGACUACCACAACAGGAGCACUGAAGGAGACUCCCAUGGGAGAGAAGUCUGGAAACGCUCUUCUUCCAGAAGCACAAAACUUCCUUCUUUUCUUGAAAUUCUGUCAUUAUAGAACCCAGGGAAAAAAAUGCAUGAAAGAAGAGAGCUAAUAAAUGGAAAAUUAAGAAAACUGGGCCACAGAAUUUUGAAAAAACAAAAAUGAAGGGAUACGACAUCAGAGAGAGCCAUGGGAAUCCUAGAAGACAUCAUUAUUAAAAAUAGCAAAGCCAUAAACAGAGAGGUUAAGCCAGUGAAAGAACAAGGACAAAAUAUGGAAGACUUGGACCUCCAAUUUCUAUUAUAAGCACUACACCAAAAAAAGCUUGUAUGUGACAUAUAUAAAUAAGAAUAAUUAUAAAUAAAUUUCAGCCUUU
Non-coding RNA from Meleagris gallopavo (turkey), 815 nucleotides. The record is from RefSeq and is a predicted model, not a curated record. NCBI's taxonomy places the organism in Eukaryota, Metazoa, Chordata, Aves, Galliformes, Phasianidae.